This 549-nucleotide ribosomal RNA is filed under the name Triticum aestivum (bread wheat). RNAcentral's name for it is "partial small subunit ribosomal RNA". Lineage: Eukaryota; Viridiplantae; Streptophyta; Magnoliopsida; Poales; Poaceae. The record is from RNAcentral.
AUGAAUGUCUACGCGCCCUCUGAUCAUGCUCUCACUAAUGAUUUCGUCGAGGAUUUGACCGCGGUCUCCUCGGGCAUCUCCGGGCCUUGGAUUGCGCUUGGGGAUUUCAAUCUGAUAAGGCCCCCCUGCGAGAAGAAUAACCAUAACUUUGAUGCGUCUAGGGCAGCGAUCUUCAACUCUCUCAUCAACUCCCUGGCCCUGCAUGAACUGGCCUUAACGGAUCGCCGUUUCACCUGGACGAACCGCAGGGAUCCGCCGACUCUGGCCCGGCUCGACAGGGCUUUCGUUGACACUGAAUGGGGAACAUCCUUCCCGGACUCGGCCCUCUCCUUGUGUCCCCAGCCUACCUCUGACCAUGUUCCCCUAGUUGUCGCCACGUCUACCCGUAUUCUCAAACCUGCUCGCUUCUUCUUUGAGAGCUCUUGGCUACUCAACCCUCGUUUCCUUCCCACUACCAUUCCAUCCUGGACGGGCGCUAUAGGCCGGCAUUGUGCGGCGGGAAGACUCGCUGCACGUAAGAAGAAGUUUCGGUCUGUGGCCAAGGUCUAG